GACGAACGCUGGCGGCGUGCCUAAUACAUGCAAGUCGAGCGAGCUUGCCUAGAUGAAUUUGGUGCUUGCACCAAAUGAAACUAGAUACAAGCGAGCGGCGGACGGGUGAGUAACACGUGGGUAACCUGCCCAAGAGACUGGGAUAACACCUGGAAACAGAUGCUAAUACCGGAUAACAACACUAGACGCAUGUCUAGAGUUUAAAAGAUGGUUCUGCUAUCACUCUUGGAUGGACCUGCGGUGCAUUAGCUAGUUGGUAAGGUAACGGCUUACCAAGGCAAUGAUGCAUAGCCGAGUUGAGAGACUGAUCGGCCACAUUGGGACUGAGACACGGCCCAAACUCCUACGGGAGGCAGCAGUAGGGAAUCUUCCACAAUGGACGCAAGUCUGAUGGAGCAACGCCGCGUGAGUGAAGAAGGGUUUCGGCUCGUAAAGCUCUGUUGGUAGUGAAGAAAGAUAGAGGUAGUAACUGGCCUAUAUUUGACGGUAAUCAACCAGAAAGUCACGGCUAACUACGUGCCAGCAGCCGCGGUAAUACGUAGGUGGCAAGCGUUGUCCGGAUUUAUUGGGCGUAAAGCGAGCGCAGGCGGAGAAAUAAGUCUGAUGUGAAAGCCCACGGCUCAACCGUGGAACUGCAUCGGAAACUGUUUUUCUUGAGUGCAGAAGAGGAGAGUGGAACUCCAUGUGUAGCGGUGGAAUGCAUAGAUAUAUGGAAGAACACCAGUGGCGAAGGCGGCUCUCUGGUCUGCAACUGACGCUGAGGCUCGAAAGCAUGGGUAGCGAACAGG
Molecule: ribosomal RNA, 788 nt
Filed under: uncultured Lactobacillus sp.
Lineage: Bacteria; Bacillati; Bacillota; Bacilli; Lactobacillales; Lactobacillaceae
Description: bacterial SSU rRNA
Rfam family: Bacterial small subunit ribosomal RNA
Source: RNAcentral